This 215-nucleotide ribosomal RNA is filed under the name uncultured bacterium. Its description in RNAcentral is "partial 16S ribosomal RNA". It matches the Rfam family "Bacterial small subunit ribosomal RNA", at positions 1286 to 1500 of the family's 1533-position model. The record is from RNAcentral.
UCUCAGUUCGGAUUGCAGGCUGCAACNCGCCUGUAUGAAGUCGGAAUUGCUAGUAAUCGCGGAUCAGCAUGCCGCGGUGAAUACGUUCCCGGGCCUUGUACACACCGCCCGUCACACCAUGAGAGUCGGGAACACCCGAAGUCCGUAGUCUAACCGCAAGGAGGGCGCGGCCGAAGGUGGGCUUGAUAAUUGGGGUGAAGUCGUAACAAGGUAGC